AACGAACGCUGGCGGCAGGCCUAACACAUGCAAGUCGAGCGAGGACUUCGGUCCUAGCGGCGGACGGGUGAGUAACGCGUGGGAACGUGCCCUUUGCUUCGGAAUAGCCCUGGUAAACUGGGAGUAAUACCGGAUGAGCCCUUUGGGGGAAAGAUUUAUCGGCGAAGGAUCGGCCCGCGUUGGAUUAGGUAGUUGGUGGGGUAAUGGCCUACCAAGCCGACGAUCCAUAGCUGGGUUGAGAGGAUGCUCAGCCACACUGGGACUGAGACACGGCCCAGAAUCCUACGGGAGGCAGCAGUGGGGAAUCUUAGACAAUGGGGGAAACCCUGAUCUAGCCAUGCCGCGUGAGCGAUGAAGGCCUUAGGGUUGUAAAGCUCUUUCAGCUGGGAAGAUAAUGACGGUACCAGCAGAAGAAGCCCCGGCUAACUCCGUG
Molecule: ribosomal RNA, 433 nt
Filed under: uncultured bacterium
Lineage: Bacteria
Description: partial 16S ribosomal RNA
Rfam family: Bacterial small subunit ribosomal RNA
Source: RNAcentral